Molecule: ribosomal RNA, 284 nt
Filed under: Segatella copri DSM 18205
Lineage: Bacteria; Pseudomonadati; Bacteroidota; Bacteroidia; Bacteroidales; Prevotellaceae
Description: Prevotella copri DSM 18205 partial 16S ribosomal RNA
Rfam family: Bacterial small subunit ribosomal RNA
Source: RNAcentral
UCUUUUCCUUUUUUUUCAGCCGCCGCGGUAAUACGGAAGGUCCGGGCGUUAUCCGGAUUUAUUGGGUUUAAAGGGAGCGUAGGCCGGAGAUUAAGCGUGUUGUGAAAUGUAGACGCUCAACGUCUGCACUGCAGCGCGAACUGGUUUCCUUGAGUACGCACAAAGUGGGCGGAAUUCGUGGUGUAGCGGUGAAAUGCUUAGAUAUCACGAAGAACUCCGAUUGCGAAGGCAGCUCACUGGAGCGCAACUGACGCUGAAGCUCGAAAGUGCGGGUAUCGAACAGG